CAGGCACUCAGGAGGAAGGUCUAGCAGAGCCAAGAGGACGAUCAAUUCCCUCCUGGCAGGGCUGCCCGCGGGCGGAAGGGGGGUCACUCAGGAAGCAGCAGGCUCCUGACCCAGAAGCAAGGGCCACAGAGCCCUGGGACCAGGAGGAGCCCUUAGACCCCCGGGUACUCACUUAGAAGACAAGGAGUCACAGGGCAGCUUCUCCCACAGGUACUGCCCCUGUCCUUGGUGUGGACAUGCACAGAGAGGCCUGUGCCUGUCACUGAAGGGUCCCACUUGACCUUGAACUCGUGAUCCUCCUGCCUCGCCCUCCCCAGAUGCUGGAUUACAGGCAUGUGCCACCAUGCCGGACUUCGAGAAUAGAAGUGAUGACAGUUCUAACCCAGAACGUGUCCGUAAUAGUUGAUUAAUAUUCACACAAACAAGGCCAAGAUGAAUGGGGUCCUUGUCCCCGUGAGCAUCCUCUGGAAUGACUGUGGCCUUAUCAUGAAUGAUAACACCAGCUCAAGGGGCGCACAUUACAGCAAGUCGUGGAGGGAUGGCCCACACGGAGCGCUCGGCACCGCCCGGAGCCCUCUCUCUACCUCUCUGUCUGGGCACCGGGGACCGUUUAUGGAGCCUGGCGUUGGGUUGUCACUGGGAGAAAAGCCAGCCUCGCUCCGCAGACCCCUCGGCCAGAGGAGACACAGUGUUGGAGAUAAGAAGAUUUUAAAGGAAUAAACCCCACCAGGAGGCUUGGAAGGGGAAAGGCUGAGCGUUCCUUCGGCCCCUUCUUCUCUUUUCUUUCCUUCUCUUUCUCUUUCCCUCCCACUCUUUCUUCCUCCUUCUUUCCUUCCUUAUUAAAAUCAGUCUUUCUGAA
Long non-coding RNA from Sciurus carolinensis (gray squirrel), 859 nucleotides. RefSeq lists it as uncharacterized. Lineage: Eukaryota; Metazoa; Chordata; Mammalia; Rodentia; Sciuridae. The transcript has 4 exons. The record is from RefSeq and is a predicted model, not a curated record.